This is a long non-coding RNA of Nerophis ophidion (straightnose pipefish), 2689 nucleotides long. RefSeq lists it as uncharacterized. NCBI's taxonomy places the organism in Eukaryota, Metazoa, Chordata, Actinopteri, Syngnathiformes, Syngnathidae. The transcript has 5 exons. The record is from RefSeq and is a predicted model, not a curated record.
UGUCAGCAAACGGAAGUUGCCUUUCUAAAAUGAGCGGUGUCAUCCGGGUAUUUUGUAGCAGCUGUUUCACUUCGAGGACGGGCCGACUUUACGGUUUCGUCGGCAACUCAGCGUUUUUUUUUUUAAACUAUUACUACAAAUGUAAGACUUUGAAAGUCCAAUAACUGAUAUAUGUGUGUAUAUAGAGCAAGGUAAUCGCAGCAACAAAUGUCAAAAAUGUUAUAGCGUUUGUUCGCCGCUAGAGGACAGCCUAACAGCAGAUGAACAGCUCAGUGCGAAAUGUCGUGAAGAAAAUGGCUAACCAUCAAUUACGCUGUCUGGCUUCCAAAAGUUCAGCACCUGGAUUUAAUUAAGCAGAUAUAGAAACAUCAACUGCAUGUAUUUACAUCAUCAUUGGAGAUUGUCCACCGCAAAAGAAGAGUACGCACAGUUUCCCUUGGACUAUCCUGGUAAACAGCAAGAGUCAGCCUGGAGCGGCCCGGUUGAGCUAUAGAAUCUCGACUUUUUGUGAACAGACAAGUUCGCUGUUGACCAGAUUCCACAUGUGCCGAACGUCUUAAAGGCAUUAUGUUUGAUUGGAGCCACCUGAAGGACUUCCAGGCACAUCCCUAAGAAGACGUCGUCGAUGGGGUACAACUCGAGGGUAUCUGCAACCCAAUAGAGCUUCCUUGCCAGGUUCCCGUCCAUCAGAAACCCCCCGCCUCCUGCGUAGGGAGGGUAAUGGGUCUUAUUGUACAAAGCCUGCGGGAUGUAGUACUUAUUCUCCCUUUUUCGGAUCGGCUUUGCCCUAAAAAUCACGUCCCCGACAAAGAGGUUCUUUGCAGGGUCAGUGCUGUCGAGGAACUCAAAAAUGUUCUCCACACUGACAAAAACAUCAUCGUCCCCCUUGAAGAUGUAGCGAACACUCGGGCAGUAGGUGUGGAACCAUUUGAGGAAGUGUGUCUCCUUCAGCGUGAGAUUGAAGAAGCUAUCCAAGAAGUCCCACUGAAGGAUAUCGCCAUAGAUGUGGUUUUCAUACUCCAAAAGCUUUUGAUGGUUGGCCCCCUCAGCCUGGUUGGAUGAUUUAGCAAGAAGGAAAAGCGUCUUUAUCCUCUUGCCGCUUACGACUCGCUCCUUGCCCCACGUUUUUCGAAUGACUUCUCUACGAUCAUGCUGGGUUGCCACAGAUUUGAUCACCAUGAGCAAAUAAAUCUCCCCCGAGCAUUUCUCCGGGUGGUUUUGAAGUAUUGGGAAGUAUCGGCAGUGUCUGUAAAGCAUAAAUUGCUUGAAUGUGUCCUCCAGACUCCGAAACCAAUCCAGGCCUGAAAGAUUGUGGUUGGCGCUACAGUUGGUGGUGGUUACGUCCCAGGUUGUGGCACUAUGUUCUUCAGUGACACUAGGCUCCUGGGUGGUGGAUCGACCUCGAUGAAGCGGCUGGUGCUUGAUCGGCUUCCAAAAGCCUUUCAACCCCUGAGAGGAGUGCGUCUUCACUUGAAUGGCAGCUCCGGACUCCACGUCAGAGGCAUCCAUUCGAGCCUGCCGCUGGAGUUCAAAUGGAGCCCCCAUGUUGAUGCUCCCUCUCUGGACAAUAGUGAGCGCCACCACUGCCAGGAAGAACAUGACACUCACCCUCUUGUACACCUUCCAGCAAUCUCUGUUGUUAAUCCUGGUCAACACAAAGAGAAGAGAUAACUGAUCAGAUCAACAGCUUUAAUUAAAAAAAACAAUAUGUGAGGCACUUAUUGGGACAACCACUAAGAUAUGUUACCUAAGGUCCAUUGUUCAAAAGACCUAAACAUUUUCAUUGGUAUAAAUCCUUAAGUUACAUCACAAUUUCAUUUAUGUUCAAACUUAAUUGGUUUGUUUGCGACUUAUAAAGAUACAACGGCUUUCUCACUACAGCGGAAUCCUGCCAAAUUUUGUGGAACUGUACCAAAACCACUUUUUGUUAGGGGAUUAGUGGGCUUGGGCUGCCCCUUAGUUUGAUUACUGUGUUCACACCUCACCAAACAAUGGGGAACUUUAGUGUGAUUAUAAAAGUUAAAGUACCAAUGAUUGUCACACACACUAACCACAAGACAGGAAUAACAUACCAAAGUGUAUCAGUGUGACAUUGAAAACAUUUAUAGCAAGUAAUUGAUCCUGUCAAGGAUCAAGGGUGGGCAGGGGCCUAUCCUGGCCACCUUUGGGCAAGAGGGGGUGCACCCUGGACUGGUCACAGGACAAAAACAGACAACUAGAGACAAAUAUUUACCGCCGUGGUUUGUUAUUUAGCAACCUAACUUUAAAAGUUAUGGGCGGAUUUCGAUAAAACUAUCAGGAAAUGUUCAAAAUGGAAGAAAGAAAGUGAUUAGAUUUUGAGGGUGAUUAGCAUAAUUUCUACUAGCGGUAGAAAAUGAAUGGAUGGAUAUCUGACAGUUACAUCACAAUUACAGCUGCCCCGCCUCCACCCAUAGUGACAAACAAUGGAUUAAAGGCCAAAGCGUCCUCGCUAUUUAUUGAAUUCCGCUACAGAUAGCUCAAAAUGAGCAGAUUUGGAUUGAAUCAAUCAAUCAAUGUUUAUUUAUAUAGCCCAAAAUCACAGGUGUCUCAAAGGGGCUACACAAGCCACAACGACAUCCUCGGUUCAGAGCCCACAAAAAGGCAAGGAAAAACUCACAACUCAGUGGGACGUCUAUGUGAAUGACUGAGGAACCUUGGAGAGGACCCC